GGUUAAGCGACUAAGCGUACACGGUGGAUGCCCUGGCAGUCAGAGGCGAUGAAGGACGUGCUAAUCUGCGAUAAGCGUCGGUAAGGUGAUAUGAACCGUUAUAACCGGCGAUUUCCGAAUGGGGAAACCCAGUGUGUUUCGACACACUAUCAUUAACUGAAUCCAUAGGUUAAUGAGGCGAACCGGGGGAACUGAAACAUCUAAGUACCCCGAGGAAAAGAAAUCAACCGAGAUUCCCCCAGUAGCGGCGAGCGAACGGGGAGCAGCCCAGAGCCUGAAUCAGUGUGUGUGUUAGUGGAAGCGUCUGGAAAGGCGCGCGAUACAGGGUGACAGCCCCGUACACAAAAAUGCACAUACUGUGAGCUCGAUGAGUAGGGCGGGACACGUGGUAUCCUGUCUGA
RNAcentral lists this ribosomal RNA (401 nucleotides) under Escherichia coli. RNAcentral's name for it is "partial 23S ribosomal RNA". It matches the Rfam family "Bacterial large subunit ribosomal RNA", at positions 1 to 441 of the family's 2925-position model. Lineage: Bacteria; Pseudomonadati; Pseudomonadota; Gammaproteobacteria; Enterobacterales; Enterobacteriaceae. The record is from RNAcentral.